Molecule: ribosomal RNA, 787 nt
Filed under: uncultured archaeon
Lineage: Archaea
Description: bacterial SSU rRNA
Rfam family: Archaeal small subunit ribosomal RNA
Source: RNAcentral
CAGUAACACGUGGACAACCUACCCUUAGGUCGGGGAUAAACCCGGGAAACUGGGUAUAAUACCCGAUAGUCCUCGGAUGCUGGAAUGCACCGAGGUCUAAAGCUCCGGCGCCUAAGGAUGGGUCUGCGGCCUAUCAGGUAGUAGUGGGUGUAGCGUACCUACUAGCCUACGACGGGUACGGGUUGUGAGAGCAAGAGCCCGGAGAUGGAUUCUGAGACACGAAUCCAGGCCCUACGGGGUGCAGCAGGCGCGAAAACUUUACAAUGCUGGAAACAGCGAUAAGGGAACCUCGAGUGCCAGGUUACAAAUCUGGCUGUCGUGAUGCCUAAAAAGCAUUGCAUAGCAAGGGCCGGGCAAGACCGGUGCCAGCCGCCGCGGUAACACCGGCGGCUCGAGUGGUAACCGCUAUUAUUGGGUCUAAAGGGUCUGUAGCCGGCCGGAUAAGUCUUUUGGGAAAUCUGGCAGCUUAACUGUCAGGCUUUCAGAGGAUACUGUCUGGCUCGAGGCCGGGAGAGGUGAGAGGUACUUCAGGGGUAGGGGUGAAAUCUUGUAAUCCUUGAAGGACCACCAGUGGCGAAGGCGUCUCACCAGAACGGACCUGACGGCAAGGGACGAAAGCUAGGGGCACGAACCGGAUUAGAUACCCGGGUAGUCCUAGCCGUAAACGAUACUCGCUAGGUGUCGGCCACGGUGCGACCGUUGUCGGUGCCGUAGGGAAGCCGUGAAGCGAGCCACCUGGGAAGUACGGCCGCAAGGCUGAAACUUAAAGGAAUUGGCGGGGAAGCAC